AGCAAUCUUGUAGGCAAAGGCCUUCUUAUACCUCUUGAGCGAGUCUAGAGUCUUUGCUCGCUCCUCAGGUGUCAAAUCUACUGCAAUAAUCACAUACAACUUUUCUUCCUCAUCCAAGAAUCCAUAGCUCAAGUGCUUAGGUAACUCCUUCAAUUCUAAGGCCGGGGGGUCCUCAAAAGAAGACUUUACUUUAUGCUCUUCUUACUAGUCAAGAGAAAGAAAAGGGUCAGUAGAACAGCUAGGCUCAGUAGCCAACAAACUAGCUAGCUACUCCAACACUUGCUCGUUGGACAACUCCUCCUCAUCUCCUUGCAAUGCUACCUGCAAAGGAUCAUCAAGCAAUAUUUCCUACAAAUGAGACUUAACUGCAUCAUCCAUAAUAUCAAUAGAAAACACAG
Molecule: long non-coding RNA, 398 nt
Filed under: Ricinus communis (castor bean)
Lineage: Eukaryota; Viridiplantae; Streptophyta; Magnoliopsida; Malpighiales; Euphorbiaceae
Description: long non-coding RNA (RCOM_LNC000448)
Source: RNAcentral